CUACGGGAGGCAGCAGUGGGGAAUUUUGGACAAUGGGCGCAAGCCUGAUCCAGCAAUGCCGCGUGUGUGAAGAAGGCCUUCGGGUUGUAAAGCACUUUUGUCCGGAUAGAAAUCCGUCUGGCUAAUACCCGGACGGGAUGACGGUACCGGAAGAAUAAGCACCGGCUAACUACGUGCCAGCAGCCGCGGUAAUACGUAGGGUGCGAGCGUUAAUCGGAAUUACUGGGCGUAAAGCGUGCGCAGGCGGCUUUGUAAGACAGAUGUGAAAUCCCCGGGCUCAACCUGGGAACUGCAUUUGUGACUGCAAGGCUAGAGUGCGUCAGAGGGAGGUGGAAUUCCGCGUGUAGCAGUGAAAUGCGUAGAGAUGCGGAGGAACACCAAUGGCGAAGGCAGCCUCCUGGGAUGACACUGACGCUCAUGCACGAAAGCGUGGGGAGCAAACAGGAUUAGAAACCCUUGUAGUCC
RNAcentral lists this ribosomal RNA (465 nucleotides) under uncultured bacterium. RNAcentral's name for it is "bacterial SSU rRNA". It matches the Rfam family "Bacterial small subunit ribosomal RNA", at positions 339 to 796 of the family's 1533-position model. The record is from RNAcentral.